RNAcentral lists this long non-coding RNA (1143 nucleotides) under Marmota monax (woodchuck). Lineage: Eukaryota; Metazoa; Chordata; Mammalia; Rodentia; Sciuridae. The record is from RNAcentral.
UUAUACUUUUGUUAUUAAAGCAUCCAGGGCGAUUUAAUAUUUGUUCCUAGAUGUAAUUCAUUUGAAUAGGUUUUGCAUUUGUUAUUCAGCAGUGUAUAAAGCUAACCUUGAUAAUUUUACUUUUAAUUAAUUAUCUAAAUGGAAAAUGCUAUUAGCUGAAUCAUAUCCACUACAGUACCUAGAGCUCCAUAGGAGUCUAAUCAUAGAUCAUAAAAGGUUAAAAAUCCUCUUCCAAAGCAGGAAGCCAAUCAAUAUAACAACAGUAGUUGGGGAGAAAUGGGAGCCCUUCAGAAGUAUUGAUGUGGCCUUAAUUAUGUCAUCCAUUACCCUAAAGAAAAAAAAAAGUAAUUACCACGCUGGGCUCUCAUCUUUACCCCUUUAUACGUUCAGUUCCAUUUGGAGGAGUUAUGUAUUUUUUAACAUUAGUGCCAAGUGUAUAGAAGGACAACAGCAAAAGCAGUGCCUCUUUGGGCACAACCCUUUUCAAGUAGCAUUCUUAUCUGUUAGAAAUGUAGAAAGAACUUCAUUUGUAAUCCUUAAAUUAAAAUGUGGUAAGUAGGCAGCAAGAACUUAUCCUGUGUUUUUACGCAGCCAUGCACUUAUUUUAAGCUAAUUCACUCCAUGGCUAGGAUCGAGAUAGGAAUCAACCUAUGUGAUUUGCUUUAGGAGAAAUUAAGAGGUAUAUUCUUAAGGCAUAUUAUAUUUUGAUGCUAAUUCUGUUCUGGGGAGCACCUUGUACUGUCACUGUUUUUGUACUAAAUCUUCAAAUAUUGUCUACUGUGUAAGGCAGAGAAAUUUCUUAUCAUGCAAAAACCAUUUUGUUUCCAGGGUAACAAGUACCUAAGUGCAUGCACAACUUGCUUUCCCUUGUAACAUUCAUGAUCUCAUUCACAAUUCUGAUUUUAAAACAAAACAAAAAAAAUCUUUACAAUGAGCUAUAUAGGGACAUACCAGAUGUUGCAGUGAUUUUAGCUAUCAACAAACUGUUAACCAUGUACAAUAUUUAAAAUAGGCUUAUUUUGAUGUAUUGCCUAUUAUACAAAUACACAAAACAUUUUUGGAGGCCUCAGUUAUGAGUGGCAGAGCUUUCUGUGUAUAAUUUGUCUACAUAAUUUGUCUAAUAAAAAUGUUUUCUAAACUUGC